UACAGAGGGUGCAAGCGUUAAUCGGAAUGACUGGGCGUAAAGGGCACGUAGGCGGAUAGAUGUGUCAUAGGUGAAAUCCCGGGGCUCAACCUCGGAACUGCCCUUGAAACUGGAAGGCUAGAAUCCUGGAGAGGCGAGUGGAAUUCCGAGUGUAGAGGUGAAAUUCGUAGAUAUUCGGAAGAACACCAGUGGCGAAGGCGACUCGCUGGACAGGUAUUGACGCUGAGGUGCGAAAGCGUGGGGAGCAAACAGGAUUAGAUACCCCAGUAGU
RNAcentral lists this ribosomal RNA (271 nucleotides) under uncultured bacterium. RNAcentral's name for it is "partial 16S ribosomal RNA". It matches the Rfam family "Bacterial small subunit ribosomal RNA", at positions 524 to 794 of the family's 1533-position model. The record is from RNAcentral.